Molecule: long non-coding RNA, 480 nt
Filed under: Pan troglodytes (chimpanzee)
Lineage: Eukaryota; Metazoa; Chordata; Mammalia; Primates; Hominidae
Description: long non-coding RNA NONPTRT008197
Source: RNAcentral
GGAGCAUCGGGUAGGGUUCUUCCCAUGACUGUAAGGUAGUGAUGUUUCCUUUUCCUCCACAGCCCAGGCUUGCAUCCCUCCCUGCGGUCUCCAGGAGUUCGCCCGGCGUUUCCUCUGCAGCGGGUGCUACUCUAGGGUCUGCGACCUCCCGCUGGACUGCCCAGGUGAGGGGGCGGGGCCUCGGGGUGCAGGAGGCCAACCUGAGAAACGGGACCAGAGCACCGAGGGGCAUAAGCUGGUGGCGAGGCCAGACGUGGUCGGGGCCCAGCGAGUGAACCCUGCUCCGUCUUCAGUUCAGGAUGUGACAGUGACUCGGGGCGACCAGGCUAUGUUUUCUUGCAUCGUAAACUUCCAGCUGCCAAAGGAGGAGAUCACCUAUUCCUGGAAGUUCGCAGGAGGAGGUGUGAGUCGGGGCGGGGCCGGCGCGAAGAGUUUAGACGGGCGAGUUAGCCUUCACUAGAGGUUGGGGAGUCAGCUUGC